This 380-nucleotide ribosomal RNA is filed under the name Gammaproteobacteria bacterium. Its description in RNAcentral is "bacterial LSU rRNA". It matches the Rfam family "Bacterial large subunit ribosomal RNA", at positions 2562 to 2925 of the family's 2925-position model. Lineage: Bacteria; Pseudomonadati; Pseudomonadota; Gammaproteobacteria. The record is from RNAcentral.
GUCCCAAGGGUAUGGCUGUUCGCCAUUUAAAGUGGUACGCGAGCUGGGUUUAGAACGUCGUGAGACAGUUCGGUCCCUAUCUGCCGUGGGCGUUGGAGACUUGAGGGAAGCUGCUCCUAGUACGAGAGGACCGGAGUGGACGUACCUCUGGUGUUCCGGUUGUGAUGCCAAUCGCAUUGCCGGGUAGCUAUGUACGGACGGGAUAACCGCUGAAAGCAUCUAAGCGGGAAGCCUCUCCCAAGAUUAGGUCUCCCUGACUCCUUGAGAGUCCUGAAGGGUCGUUGAAGACUACAACGUUGAUAGGCUGGAUGUGGAAGCUCAGUAAUGGGUGAAGCUAACCAGUACUAAUUGCCCGUGAGUCUUGACCAUAUAACCCCAAA